CAAAACGUAGCUUAAAUUAAAGCAUUUGGCCUACACCCAAAAGAUUUUAUACAUAAUAAACGUUUUGA
This 68-nucleotide transfer RNA is filed under the name Muscardinus avellanarius (hazel dormouse). RNAcentral's name for it is "tRNA-Val". It matches the Rfam family "tRNA". From Rfam's summary of the family: Transfer RNA (tRNA) molecules are approximately 80 nucleotides in length. Their secondary structure includes four short double-helical elements and three loops (D, anti-codon, and T loops). Further hydrogen bonds mediate the characteristic L-shaped molecular structure. tRNAs have two regions of fundamental functional importance: the anti-codon, which is responsible for specific mRNA codon recognition, and the 3' end, to which the tRNAs corresponding amino acid is attached (by aminoacyl-tRNA synthetases). tRNAs cope with the degeneracy of the genetic code in two manners: having more than one tRNA (with a specific anti-codon) for a particular amino acid; and 'wobble' base-pairing, i.e. permitting non-standard base-pairing at the 3rd anti-codon position. The record is from RNAcentral. Lineage: Eukaryota; Metazoa; Chordata; Mammalia; Rodentia; Gliridae.